GCCGGGGUGGUGAAAUUGGUAGACACGUCGGAUUCAAAAUCCGAUGGUAGCAAUACCGUGCCGGUUCGAGUCCGGCCCUCGGUACCA
This 87-nucleotide transfer RNA is filed under the name Sulfurospirillum sp. RNAcentral describes it as "tRNA-Leu". It matches the Rfam family "tRNA". From Rfam's summary of the family: Transfer RNA (tRNA) molecules are approximately 80 nucleotides in length. The record is from RNAcentral. Lineage: Bacteria; Pseudomonadati; Campylobacterota; Epsilonproteobacteria; Campylobacterales; Sulfurospirillaceae.